RNAcentral lists this unclassified non-coding RNA (249 nucleotides) under Glomeraceae sp. RNAcentral describes it as "partial contains 5.8S ribosomal RNA and internal transcribed spacer 2". The stretch from base 1 to 71 matches the Rfam family "5.8S ribosomal RNA", at positions 84 to 154 of the family's 154-position model. Lineage: Eukaryota; Fungi; Glomeromycota; Glomeromycetes; Glomerales; Glomeraceae. The record is from RNAcentral.
GUGAAUCAUCAAAUUUUUGAACGCAAAUUGCGCUUCCUGGUAUUCCGGGAAGUAUGCCUGUUUGAGGGUCAGUAUUAACAAAAAAAUCGGUUUGGUGUUAAAUUGUUGCGUUUCCGGAGUUGGGGUUAUCUUAAUUUUUUUUGUUAAUGGUCUUAAAAUUGACCUUUUUUGCGCAUUUUUAGACGUACUUAAAUUUUUUUUUUAUUCGUCUAUUCUUAAUGCCAAAAUCUUAUUAGAUGCUAUAACUUC